Molecule: ribosomal RNA, 51 nt
Filed under: Eucalyptus microcorys (tallowwood)
Lineage: Eukaryota; Viridiplantae; Streptophyta; Magnoliopsida; Myrtales; Myrtaceae
Also listed under: 32 other names
Description: partial 28S ribosomal RNA
Source: RNAcentral
ACGCGACCCCAGGUCAAGCGGGGCUACCCGCUGAGUUUAAGCAUAUCAAUA